This 93-nucleotide small nucleolar RNA is filed under the name Homo sapiens (human). RNAcentral's name for it is "Small nucleolar RNA U13". It matches the Rfam family "Small nucleolar RNA U13". Lineage: Eukaryota; Metazoa; Chordata; Mammalia; Primates; Hominidae. The record is from Rfam by way of RNAcentral.
GCCAUUUUGUACGUCUUAAGCAUGAUGACUGCGGUUUCAAGCUCACGGUGAGGUAUGCCUCCCUCAACCCUUGUUACGGAUGCCAGUCUGACA